Molecule: ribosomal RNA, 450 nt
Filed under: uncultured Glomeromycotina
Lineage: Eukaryota; Fungi; Glomeromycota
Description: SSU rRNA
Rfam family: Eukaryotic small subunit ribosomal RNA
Source: RNAcentral
AGCAGCCGCGGUAAUUCCAGCUCCAAUAGCGUAUAUUAAAGUUGUUGCAGUUAAAAAGCUCGUAGUUGAAUUUCGGGAUCAAUACGUCGGUCGUGCUCCGGUACGUACUGGCGUCAUUGAUUUCUCCCUUCUGACGAACCAUGAUGUCAUUAACUUGGUGUCAUGGGAAAUCAGGACUGUUACUUUGAAAAAUUAGAGUGUUUAAAGCAGGCUCACGCUUGAAUACAUUAGCAUGGAAUAAUGAAAUAGGACGUUCGAUCCUAUUUUGUUGGUUUUAGGAUCAACGUAAUGAUUAAUAGGGAUAGUUGGGGGCAUUAGUAUUCAAUUGUCAGAGGUGAAAUUCUUGGAUUUAUUGAAGACUAACUACUGCGAAAGCAUUUGCCGAGGAUGUUUUCAUUAAUCAAGAACGAAAGUUAGGGGAUCGAAGACGAUCAGAUACCGUCGUAGUCU